CGCAGGAGGAUAAGGGUGAUCUCAUAGAGGUGUAUAAGACCAUGAGAGGAAAGAUAGUGCAAAUGCAGAGAGUCUUUUAACCAAGAAUAGGGGAAUCAAGAGCCAGGGAACAUAGGUUUAAGGUGAGAGUGGAAAGAUUUAAUAGGAAUCUGAGGGGUAACUUUUUUCCACAGAGG
This is a long non-coding RNA of Amblyraja radiata (thorny skate), 176 nucleotides long. RefSeq lists it as uncharacterized. NCBI's taxonomy places the organism in Eukaryota, Metazoa, Chordata, Chondrichthyes, Rajiformes, Rajidae. The record is from RefSeq and is a predicted model, not a curated record. The transcript is spliced from 3 exons.